UAGCUCAGUGGGUAGAGCGUCAGCCUGCAGACUGAAAGGUCCCGGGUUCAAUUCCCGG
RNAcentral lists this transfer RNA (58 nucleotides) under Myotis davidii. It matches the Rfam family "tRNA", at positions 8 to 63 of the family's 71-position model. From Rfam's summary of the family: Transfer RNA (tRNA) molecules are approximately 80 nucleotides in length. The record is from Rfam by way of RNAcentral. Lineage: Eukaryota; Metazoa; Chordata; Mammalia; Chiroptera; Vespertilionidae.